CACCGUCACCGGCCGCAGAUUGGGAUUGUCGCGGCCCGGGACAUCGCCAUCUCCGUCGUCGCCGCCUCCGCCCCCGCCCCCGCCCCCGCCCCCGCCCCGUCCUUUUGCUGGCCUUCUCCCUCCCGUCCUCGUCGUCGAUGACGACCCUUCGUCUCCGCUGAAGUCUGCCAUAGCCUCGUCGGCUUUUGGACGACGAACCCCCGCCUCCGCGGUCUGGUAGCCUCGUCGUCGCCUUUUGGACGACGAACCCUACGUCUUCGCGGUCGGGUAGCCUCGUCUUCGCCUUUUGGACAACGACCCCUCUUCGGGCACUCAUCGGCUUUUGGAAGACGACCCCUCCGUCUCCACGCAGAGGGAACGCAAUUUGUUUGGAAGGGCACAAGGAAAAGUUAUUUGCCUGAGCGUUUCCAGUUUGGAGCUAUCUGAAUUCAAUCAAACCGAAAGGUUUGCUGCCAUAUCCCAGUCCAGGGCUUGCUCUGCAUCCUUGCAAGUUCUCUCUAGGAAUUGACUUACAGUGGAUCACCCACUUCCGAGUUAUUGGAACCAGAUUGUGUUUGGCUUUCGAGACAGUGUUGUUAUUAUCGGUGACAUGCAAGGAACAGGAUUUUUGAUAGGCUCCAAAGACAGAAGACGUCUUAUCUUGACAUGCUACCAUGUCGUAGCGGGCAGUGCUUAUAAAGCUAAAUUGCGAGAUGAAUAUUUGGUCCAAGUUUGCAUUACUGGAUAUGGUUUGUGUUCUGGCCAGAUACUACUUGCCGACGAUGAGAGAGAUGUGGCAUUAAUUGUGGUUACUACAGAUUGUGAUGGUCUUCCAAUGAUUGAACUACCUAAUUUGGAAUUAUCUGAUCGGGUUGUCAAGAAGGACAUGGAAUUAGUCAUGUUGGGUAACAUUUUCAUGCCUAAGGGUGUAAUUAAAGAACCAGGAACCUCUUACGGCAAAUCAAAGGCCAGCAUGUAUCACAAUUCUUUAGUGGGGUGUGAUAUAUUGCCGGUGUCAUAUGUAUCAACCCCCGGGACUUCGGGAGCACCUGUUUUCCUUGUUCAGAAAGGAAGUAGUCCAGAGGUAAUAGGAAUGCAUGCUGGAAGAGUGCAGGGCACUCAAUAUUGUAUUCCAAUGCCAGUGAUAGAAGAAAGUUUGCGCCAGUUGAGUACAAAGAAGGGCUUCUCAAUUCCUGAAAUGAUUGAGAAGAUCCUUUCAGCAGCGUGUCGAAUGAAGUAGGAAUUGCUCAUACACUUUAUUAAAGUGGGACCAAAUGGACAGACCUUGUUGCUGAUGCGGAGAGACGUAAAUGUAUUUUCAGUGCCACUAAUGACGCAACCAUCUGUAAGUUGGUGUUGCAAGUAAGCAAGAGCUUGAUGAACUUGAGGAUCUUAAUGCUGAUUCAGGGGUUUUCAGCAAUACCAGAUGGAAGGUCAUUCUUAGCGACGAGUUUAGAAAGUCUUUCACCAAACUAAAAUCACCACAGCUCAGGAAGGAAGUACUCCAAAAGCUUAUCAAACUUGAAGAUGAUUGGAGGAGAACAGUUAAGAACCUUGAGAUGCCUGGUGCUUCUCAUCUUGCGAAAGUAUACAAGGUCUGGGACCUGUAUCUUGUUUGGACUACUGACGUGAAGAAAACCGAAAGAACGUAUUCCCAGAUAAUAAGAAUUUGGGACCUAUUGUCACAGCAGAAUGUUGCAAGAACUGUUCAACGUCUCGAGAAUCUGUUCUCCAUGUACACGGAUGAUUACCUUGAUCAUUGCAAGAGAGUGGAGACACAGGGGAAACUGGAGGUUCCUAUGGUUUUGGUCUUUGGGAUGUUGUGCAUGAUAUUAUCCGCUAUAACAUGGAUUGCAAAGUUGAUUCUUAUGAAGAGCAUGAUCUCGUGGAUACAUCAUAUGCCAUGGAGAAUCCAAAAGUUAGUGAAAGCUUCCUGCUGAUGAAAUUCUACUCUUUAUCAUCUGGAACGGCAAAGCAUUUGUGACAGCUACUAAUGGGUCUGAAAUUGACAUCCCCUUUGAACAGACUGAUGAAGGGCAGGUGGUUAUCCAAUUCCUGCUCACUAUUUUUAUACUUGGGAGGUCAGGCAGUGGAAAAAACCUACCUUACACUCUACGAAGCUCUGUCUGACUUACCAUUGUGUUCGUUGCAUUGCCAUAGGUAUGGUCUACAUGCAAAAUGGUACUUCUAGAAUUGAGGAAGCUGGUGACUGUUUUGCUAGGGCUGAAUGCUGGUCGGAGACAGCUGAAAUAUUCUUUAAAGCUAAAUGUUACACCAAGUGUUUCUCCAUGUGCUCGAACGGAAAACAAUUAUACAAUCUGGGCUUGCAGUUUCUGCAACAGUUAAGAGGAGGAACAUUCACUUGAGAAUUCAACAUCCUUGGAGGUUUCUGCAAUUAGAACGAAGUAUCUGGAAAAUUGUGCUCAGCAUUAUUUUGAGCGUGCUGACAUAAAGCAUAUGAUGCCCUUUGUUAAAGCUUUCAGCUCUAUGGAUCACGUUUAUAAAUUCUAGAAAUCUAUGUCAAGUUUAGAGAUGGAAAUGGGUAAUUUCCUAGAAGCUGCAGGAAUACCAAAGCAUAAAGGAGAUGUCUUAUUGGAGGUAGAUAUACUCGAGAAAGCAGAUUUGUUUGAGGACGCAACAUGGCUUCUCCAUAUCAUUGUGGAUUCCUUGUGGUCUUCAAAUAGUAGAGGAUGGCCUCCCAAAAGAUAUGCAGAGAAGGAGCAGUUGCUUGCAAAAGCCAAAGAGAUGGCAGAAAAGGUCUCUGAGUGCUUCUACUUACUGCUUUGUUUGCAUGGAAGCUGAUGCACUGUCAGAUGGGAAAAAGUCCCUUUCCAGUUUGAGUUGCACUUUGCUUGAGGGCAGAAAAUGUGCAAACUUGUUAGUUGGACUUGUUGCUUCCUGUUCGAUCCUUGAUGUUCAUCUUCAAUCUCGAGCCUCUGGAUACAAGAUAUAAUCAGGACCAGGAUCUGAAGAUGAAAAUAGCUGCAAUGACAUGCUGGCCUCUAACCAGAUGUCACCCCAAACUCUGUUUUGUGUCUGGAAUCACUGGAAGACGAUCAUAAUCAAAGUAUUAUGUCAUCUUUGCCACACUGAUGGUCCAGAAUUAAAUGAUUAUGCAGUUGUUUAAGAAGAUCUUUGCGCCAAGUACUUUGGAUUGAGAAAAGAUGGUGAAGUUGACAGAUAUGUGGUGCUGAACAUGAAUGCAAGUUGGCUUUCCAAUGCUGACAGGAAUUCUUUGCAGCAAGACGGGAACAGAUGUUUAUUGGGUGCCCCUCAGUGUCGUUCAUGUGCUCAGUGUUUCUUGAUGAAUGAGCUGUCUUCUGUUGGUUUCAGUGUACUUAAGAAGUUGGAGUGGAUUGUUCAAAUUUCUCCAAAGCCGGCAUCUUCGCAUACCCUGGUGAGAACUAUCCUUAUCAUACAUGAGAUAGCCAAGUUUUUGGAAGAACCAGAGUUCAGUAUGCCAAAAGGUUCCAUGAAGUUAAGAAGCUUUUUUGUUCUCUGUGGGCGUUGAUUCUUUGAGUUAGUUUUUCUUGUGUGGAGAGAUGGGACAAUGAGGAGCCUCUUGCAUCUACUUGACUCGCCAGCUGCAUAUGGAUUGGUUGCUGAUUCUCGUGGUGCAGAUCUUCACCCAGCAAAUAAAAAAUUGACUCAUGGGCAUCUUGGGAGAACAACCAUGCUUCUGCUUCAUGCAGCACAAUUGGACGAAGUGCUACUUUCAAGACUACUACAGUACCUGGGCAAUAAUUCUGAGUGGGCAGAUUUUUUUUGAUAUUUCAAGAGAUUUCUUGAUAGUGGUCGGGAUAGAUCCUCCUUGAUCUUCAACUUUAAGCUUGCUCGAGUGUACCUUCAGUGUAAAGUGGAAGGAUGAACUAGACUACAUAUCCCCACCAUGCUAUGUGGGACUGUGGGUCUUAUGGAGUGCCUUGGUUUCUUGGAUUCAUCAUGCUUACUGCAGAAUGAUUUUAUAUGCUGCACGAAAUCUCUGUUGGUCAAUAUGCUGGAAUGCCGUACCAGCAAGGCUUUACACUGACACCUGCCUGGUAUCUAAGUCAAGCUCAGAUUCCAAUUUUGAUGGUUUGGCACACUCAUCAGGCCGUUUCAUAUAUGAGACAAUUGUGACUAUCUUGAUGGCCAAGCAUAUGCUCCAGGAAUGGGUACAUAUGACUUCAUGUCCUUCCAGUACUUCAUACAAAGCAGUCCUCCUGUGACUAGUUGUUACACUUUACCCUCUGAUCCUUACUCUUUCUCUGGGGAAGUGCUAUGAGGUCACACAUAACCUUGUGAGGAAUGAAAUCUUUAAGGAUUUACCGUUGGACUUCUCUAAGAAGAUUGAAGAUGCUUUGAAAAUGAGGUCUCGCACACCUAGCAACUUCACAAGAGUGCUUGCUGAUGCACUUGCCGCAAUCGGAGAUCGUAUGGUAGUUAUUGGUUCACCCGAAGCCCCAGUAAUCUGUCGAAACUUGAAUCCUUGUAUGAUUAGCAAGGAGGAUUUGCAUGAUGUUCCGAAGAUAAUGGCUCUUUGUGUCUUGAAGAAUCAAAUUCUGUAAAGCAAGAUACUCCAUUGCCACAACAAACUGAUGGUAGCAAGUGUCUUGAAGAACCAAGUUCUGUAAAGCAAGAGACUCCAUUUCCAGAAAAAUCUGAUGGUAGCAAGUUCAAAAAUGUUAUUUCUGGAAACAUUCCUGUGACGGUAGAGAUAGUAAAGAUAUGGAUCAGUCCGAGAAAGAGAAAUUCAACCGAUGUCCUUGUGCCUGUAUAGAGGUAUUAAAAGGUAGAGGGUUCGAGCAAGACAGAUUCAACUGGUAUCUUUGACACUCUCUGGAAGAAGCUUGAGACUUUUCUACUCGAUGAGCAAGACCAGAAAGAUGCAAGGGCUGUCUUUUCAAUUUCUUAGAGACGCCCUUCCAUGGCUGGAACAAACAGGCGUUCUAGCAUAGAUUGAUAAAGAACUUGAUGAACACAGUCUGGAAGAGGUCAAGCACAUCUGCAGUGAGUUUGAAAAACUCUCCGACAGGAUGGACAAAAAAGAUGUGGAUGACCUAUACACAAAGUGGGAAGGUGCUGGGAAGACACUGCAGCCGGUCAUCCGCCUUGUGAGUGGUACAGGAAUAUGCAUGAAUGAUUGUAGUGAAUGCAGGAAGUGAAGGUGCAAGGAAAAGGAGAAAGACCCCAGGUUCCCAUCCUCUGCAUUCUGAAGGUGCCCACAGCCAGUUUAUACAAAACUUGUCCAGAUGAUGAGCGAGCUGACAUGGGAGAAGCUGCCUCGACUUCAACAAAGGUGGCGCAGAAGCAGAAAGCAAGAAGAAAUCCAAGGAAACAAAGAAGUCUGACAAGGGCCGUGGCAAGAAGUGAGCUGCUGUAGUUACUUUCCCGCCUUCAAAAAAUAUUUGCGUGCACCGGAGAAGCUUGUUUUUUUUUUGAACGGGCCGGAGAAGCUUGUACGUAAAACCAUUGGAUAAGACAGCAGAAAUGUGUUGCUUCGUGUCUGACCAGGGAAUGCAACUUUUGAACCGGCACAAGACAGAUGCACCCAUGCAUCACGGUGAAGUUCCCGCUAAAUUAUUUAUGAUGAUUGAAUGUGCU
This is a long non-coding RNA of Triticum aestivum (bread wheat), 5562 nucleotides long. RefSeq lists it as uncharacterized. The record is from RefSeq and is a predicted model, not a curated record. The transcript has 11 exons. NCBI's taxonomy places the organism in Eukaryota, Viridiplantae, Streptophyta, Magnoliopsida, Poales, Poaceae.